RNAcentral lists this transfer-messenger RNA (404 nucleotides) under Patescibacteria group. RNAcentral describes it as "2-01-FULL-50-23 sp001774555 Standard tmRNA". It matches the Rfam family "transfer-messenger RNA". Rfam says of the family: Bacterial tmRNA, also known as 10Sa RNA or SsrA, is named for its dual tRNA and mRNA-like properties. Its role is to liberate the mRNA from a stalled ribosome. To accomplish this part of the tmRNA is used as a reading frame that ends in a translation stop signal. The record is from RNAcentral. RNAcentral also lists the same sequence under 3 other names.
GGGGAUGACAGGUAUCGAUGAAGAUAGCUCUUUGACAACCGCAAGCCUCCGUUGGUCACCCGGAGAGAAACAGACCAAAAACUAACUGUCGACAAAAAAGUCACAGCCAGCGAAUCACCCUUGGGUAAAUUCCUAGGGGCUUUCGCUCCUGAAACCGCUGACGCCGCAUACGCGUACGCAGUCUAAGGCGUUUUCGGAUUAAAACGCUCGAGGUUUAACCGAAGGCGAGUACAAACUCGGGAUACAAGGUUAGAAGUGCCUAGGUCUAACCCCAUGCAAUCUAGGACAACUUUUGGCGGAUCUUGUUUGUGAGGAAACCAAGAGUUAAUAAAUCACAAACUAAGCUUGUAGUGGUUGUUACCGAAUAUCUUCAGACGUGGGUUCAAUUCCCACCGCCCCCACAA